AGCCAUCCGAUCGCCGCUUCACGAUUAUCGCGAGCGACUCGUAAAACAUCAUCGGGAGAGAUCGCUGAAUUUGCAAUCGACGCGUCGCGUGCCGGCCUUCCAGUGUAGCCACGUUUGUGUCGGAUAGGAUUAACCCUUUGCACUCGAGAAUAUUUUUCUCAGCAAAUUGCGGCUGUAGCCGUUCUGCGUACUUUCAUUGACACUUUGACUGACACCGUGUAAGUUGAUUUCGUGUACGGUUUUCCAUGACCUGGACACUCGGAAGAGACGAUUAAAAGAGAAGCUGCGUUUCCGGGCAGGAUGUUAAAGCUAAAAGUGUACGGCGAUGGGUUAAACAAGUUAGAUAACGUUCACACGGUUUUAUGUAACGAGGGAAAGAGAUAGUGUCUCGAGUGCGUGCUGCAUAAUCGACGUCGUGCUCGUCGUUCAAAGAGAAAAAGAUGUCUCCGUCGAGUGAGUGUAGUUCACGUUAACAGCAGGUUUAUAAACAUUUGUUCCAUUGUUCCUAGAGAGGUUGACGUUCGUUCGUCUAGAUCUUCGGCGUUAGAGGUUUGGAAAUGGCCGAUUAACUUUGACUGCCAAGUAUACACUCGUCGAAACUCCUGCGCGAUCGAAGCAAUUUUCUUAAUAGCGCUGAAACUAAGGAGUCAAUAUUCUUCGUCGCGACCAGUGUCUCCUGUGCGCGGAGAAUUGAUCAUCAUCAU
Non-coding RNA from Nomia melanderi (Alkali bee), 704 nucleotides. Lineage: Eukaryota; Metazoa; Arthropoda; Insecta; Hymenoptera; Halictidae. The record is from RefSeq and is a predicted model, not a curated record.